This 498-nucleotide ribosomal RNA is filed under the name uncultured bacterium. Its description in RNAcentral is "partial 16S ribosomal RNA". It matches the Rfam family "Bacterial small subunit ribosomal RNA", at positions 30 to 523 of the family's 1533-position model. The record is from RNAcentral.
AUUGAACGCUGGCGGCAUGCCUUACACAUGCAAGUCGAACGGUAACAGGUCUUCGGAUGCUGACGAGUGGCGAACGGGUGAGUAAUACAUCGGAACGUGCCUAGUAGUGGGGGAUAACUACGCGAAAGAGUGGCUAAUACCGCAUGAGAUCUGCGGAUGAAAGCAGGGGAUCGCAAGACCUUGUGCUACUAGAGCGGCCGAUGGCAGGUUAGGUAGUUGGUGGGAUAAAAGCUUACCAAGCCGACGAUCUGUAGCUGGUCUGAGAGGACGAUCAGCCACACUGGGACUGAGACACGGCCCAGACUCCUACGGGAGGCAGCAGUGGGGAAUUUUGGACAAUGGGCGCAAGCCUGAUCCAGCAAUGCCGCGUGCAGGAUGAAGGCCUUCGGGUUGUAAACUGCUUUUGUACGGAACGAAAAGCCCUGGGUUAAUACCCUGGGGUCAUGACGGUACCGUAAGAAUAAGCACCGGCUAACUACGUGCCAGCCGCCGCCGUAA